AGGAACAAGCUUACAAAUGCAUCCAAUUAACCUUCUGCCAACAAUUCUGGGACGUGAUUUCUUUUCCAGCCUUUGCAGGGAGAUCUCUCUUCCCAUCUCCUUCCUGGAAGACAGAAGCCUUGUGCGAGCCCCUUGUGUGAUGUCACCCCAGCUAGGGCCACCGGACGUUGGUCCUCAGCAGGGAGACUUUGGGUCCUCCACCAGGACCCAGGGCUGACCUGCAUGGCCAGGCCCCAUGGCCUGGGUAGAACCUUGUUUCUGCUCCAGAAUUCAUCUGUGUUCCCCAGUGCUCCCGGGGCCCUUGCACAGACCUCUGCGGCUCCAAAGGCUUCCUGCUGUAAUACUCUGUGCACACAGCUGAAUCCCUGACUCCACUCUGCUGAGAAGUGGCACAAAUUGCUUUUGUAAUAACAGGAAAAAACGAUCAACGAACCUUCAUUUAAGAAAAAGCACAGCGUUCUCAUGGGAACCAAGAAGACAAGCCCUUAAUGCAAAGUGUAUUCAGAGAGAAGAAAACAAGAAAAGCAGAGACGAUUGGAUUACAGCAAUUGCUCUUAUAACUCCUCUCCGCCCACCCCCUCGAUGAGAAGCUGGUUUG
This 598-nucleotide long non-coding RNA is filed under the name Homo sapiens (human). RNAcentral's name for it is "non-protein coding lnc-DAGLA-3:2". Lineage: Eukaryota; Metazoa; Chordata; Mammalia; Primates; Hominidae. The record is from RNAcentral.